This 6218-nucleotide long non-coding RNA is filed under the name Mytilus galloprovincialis (Mediterranean mussel). Lineage: Eukaryota; Metazoa; Mollusca; Bivalvia; Mytilida; Mytilidae. The record is from RNAcentral.
AAGUCAACAUGACCAAAAUGGUUAGUUGACCCUUUAAGGAGUUAUUGGCCUUUAUGGUAAAUUUUUUAGUUUUUGGUAAUUUUUUACAAAAAUCUUCUCCUCUGAAACUACAAAGACAAAUUUAACCAAACUUGUCCACACUCAUCAUUAGAGUAUUUAGUUUAAAAAAUGUGUCCGAUGACCCGGCCCGCAAACCAAGAUGGCUGACAUGGCUAAAAAUAGUACAUAGGGUAAAAUGCAGUUUUUGGCUCAUAUCUGAAAGCGUUUAGAGUAAAUCUGACAGGAUAAAAUUGUUUAUUAGGUCAAGAUCUAUCUGCUCUAAAAUUUUCAGACCAAUCAGGCAACCCGUUUAUAAAAUGGAUUAAAAAUGUUGCGCUAAAAUUGCAAUUGAUAAUUCUACUUUUCGCUAAAAUCUGUGAAAAAGGUUGCGCUAAAAUAGGUUUAACUUUGGCGCCAAAACCUCCAUUUUUUUGCGCUAAAAUGUCCUCCGUCGUGAAUUUUAGGAACACUGUCAUGAGACUUUAAUUGACUCCUAAACAGAUCAGCUUAUAAAUUGUUUAUGAUGCAUCGAUCUUUAAAUUGUUCCGAAAAUUAUUUUUUUAGCUGAAAGUAAAAUACAUUUCGGGGUAGAAAGGAACCGUUACAAAUAUUGGUAUUCUUUCAACCUUCUUAAACAUUUUUCUUUCAACAUUUUUUUCCUUACUUUGCAUAUCAAAGGUAGCUACUACUGUAACACAAAACUACCGUUUAUGGUGUUCAAUAUUAUACUAAUGCAACACUAAUGUAUAGGUACAUACUCGGAAAUCCGCAAAGGUCAAUAAUAUGAUAUAAGCAAAAACUUUAUUGCAUAGUACACUUGUACGCGAUCUAGUUUAUUUUUAAAACCUAUUACUGCGCAGUUUUAUUUAUUUGUGUUAAUACAGGUUACCUUUGUGCACUUAUCGUCGGAUUUAUAAUCCUUAUGAAUCGUUAUAAAAAAUGACAUCCUCAAACAAACCUUUUGGGAGAGCUGUGAAGGGUGCCCUUUUCAGAUUAUUUUGUACUUCACGAAAUCACUCCGGAAUAUCUCAAUGUAUUUAGAUAUUAAGUGCAUUAGGUAAGUCAUAUUACUUAUAUAUAGAUAACGUGCUUGAAAUAUAUAUAAUUUUCGUUUCAAUAACUAAAACUGAAUACUAUAUAUACGCUCGGUUCAUAGUUGAAACAUUUAUCUUGAAGUAUUUUAAGGAACAACUUGUCUACAAAUUCGAAACGAUGUUGGAUCUAUAUUGAUAUUUGUAGUUGUAUUAAUUUUGUAUUAUUGAAUUUUAUCGCUAUUUUGCGCAUUUUUCCUUUGAUCUUUUUUUUGUGAUAAUUUUUCAUAUCAUGCUCCUCGCUUGAGAUGGAAAAUUAUCGCUAGAAACUAAGGAAGCACGUAACGUUGCUAAUUCAAUUGACAUGAAAUGACAACGUCGUCAUAGGUAAAAUAGUGAUAAACAGAUUAUCAUUGGUCAUCUCAACUCGAUUGCUCAAGCGGCUCAAGCGAGAAAAUCAAUCUCGUUUAGAUGAUCAACGAUAAUCUAUAAGUAUACUAUGGAACGCCACGACUGCCUUAUGUUAAUAAUCAGCAUUAUACGCAGUGUUCACAGCAUUAUAUGAAGUGAUCACAGCAUUAUAUGUAGUGCUCACAACAUUAUAUGAAGUGAUCACAGCAUUAUAUGCAGUGCUCACAGCAUUAUAUGCAGUGUUUCACAAACAUUAUAUGAAGUGCUCACAACAUUAUAUUUUAAGUGCUCACAACAUUAUAUUAAGUGCUCAAACAACAUUAUAUUAAGUGUUCACAACAUUAUACGUUUUUUGUUGUAUGAUGAGAUUGAUGUAUGAUGAGAUUUAUGAAUGAUGAGAUCAUUCGGUAAACUUCGUUUUUUAGCGGAAAUUACCGAAUCCAUUAUUGGUAAAUUACGGUAAUGCCCAGCAAUCAAAUUUAAAAAGUUAUUAAAAUCAUGUUAUCAUAAGGUAGCAUACAAUAUUUAAAACUGAUUGAAAUAAGUAAGGAAAAGAUGAAACUGAGAGGUGAAUGAUUGAAGUAGUUCUGUUCGUCGUAAGAAAUACGAAUGGCAAAAUGUAAGUUAAAUAAUAAAAAGUUUAUUUAAUGAAAUAUCGUAGGAAAAUUUGUAUGAUAUAUUCUCGAGUUCAUUUCCUACUGAAGAAAUUUAGCAAGGUGCCACUUUAUAGUCCGUACUCAGUUUUAAAAAGCUUAAUUACCUUUUAAAUAAAACAGUCAGCUUUCUAUAACACAUAGGUGCCAUAUUACGCUAGCUUAUAUAUGUCAUGAUAGAGUCAUUUUUGGCAUCGAUUUUCAGAAUUUGGCAUUUUUACAUGAAUAAGUAUCUAACAGAUAUGGAAAAUGCAGUUUAAAGCAUUUCACUGUAGGUGUUAAACAUAACUUUACAUCAAUUAUUCCAUUUUUUACAAGCUUUUUAGCACGGCAAGUACUAAGAUUGUCUUCUAAAUAUGAUCAGCAGUCUUAUAUAGAAAUUUAAACUUUCAUAGAAAAAUUUACCCUUUCAAGACCCUGUUUAACAUUUUCAUUUAAAGUUAUCAUCUCUUAUGAAAAUUGAGUUUGUGGGGAUGAAUAAAACGUUUACUACGUUUGUUCGUCAGUUUGCACGGUACAUACAUGUAUAUAUAUAUAAAAGUGGUAUGCUUGCCAAUGAAACAACUUUCCACAAGAGACAAAAUGACAUCACAGAAAUUUUAAACAGCUAAACGGCCACAGUACGACCUUCAACAAUGAGGAAAGCCCAUACCGGAUAGUCAGCUAUAGAAGGCCCGAAAUGAUAAACGAAAAAUAUUCCUAAUUUAUGUACAAACAAACGAUCGAAAAACUAACAUGUAUAUAACACAUUAAUUAACAAACGACAACCACUGAAAUAAAGGCUCCUCCUGACUUGGGACGGCCACAUAUAUGCAAAAUGUGGCGGGUUUUAACAUGUUAGCGGGAUGUUGGUAUCCUCCCUCUAACCUGGGACAGUGGCGUAACAGAACAACAUAAGAACGAACUAUGAAAAUCAGUUGUAAAAGGCUUUGUUAGUUUUCUCGUUUGAAUUGUUUUACAUGGUCGUAUCGGGGCCUUUUAUAGCUGACUAUGCGGUAUGGGCUUUGCUCAUUGUUGAAGGCCGUACAGUGACCUAUAGUUGUUAAUGUUUGUGUCAUUUUGGUAUUUUGUGGAUAGUUGUCCUCAUUGGCAAUCAUACCACAUCUUCUUUUUUAUAUUAACUCAUUAGAUGGGUACAAAUAUAAAUACAUAUGAUCUAACAAGAAAAUAGAGUGAACGUGCAUGUGGGCGGGUACUUGUAUAUCCAACAAAUAAAAAGACACUAUAAGUACUGAUCUGAGAGUAUAUAUAACUAAUAUAGUACCAUGCUGUUGAUUAAAAAUAACAUCACUCCAGACCCUUUUGUUUUCCACAUAAUUAAUAUUGCCAAUAAUUAAGAAGUUCCGGGUCGAAUCGAUACCAAUAAUAUAUUCACCUGUUAACUAUUUACAUUAUCUGUACGUUCCGCAUCUGACAGGAUCUGAAAUUCGAGUUUAUUUAUUUCAAUAAAUAUUCGUGUAUUGAAAAAUUGUGUAAAUUAAUUAGAAUUAUCAAUAUAGAAGUAUGUUCUCCAGGUUGAUCAACAAUCUGUCAUUCUUGUUGCUCGUUUUUGUGCAAACUUGUCAUGCGCAAAAUCUGUAUGUUAUUGUAUGUAAAAAUAUCUUUCUUUGUACCAUUUACUUGGUUUUAUAAGAAAUAAAGAAUCUUGAAUCUUGACAGGAGUACCACGAAACGCUGUAUUUAUUUGCAUAUACACGGUCGUAAUCACAGAAACUACUUAAUUCAAUCAUUGUCACAUUGUUCCCGAUUGUAGUCUUUAAUCAGUAUGACUUUCUAAGAUGACAAUACGAAUAAUAAAAAUCUGGACUUAAAAAUAAGGCGUAUAGGUACAGCAUGUACAGUUUCAAUUUUGUUAGACGUAAAACAGCGAAUCAAAGAUUCAAUUUUAUUCAUAACUCAUAAAGGACAAAACUGUUGAUUAAAAAAUACUCCUUUCCAGAGACUUUUGUUUUCCAAACAAAAUCAAUAAUACCAAUAUUAAAUUGACAAGUUCCAGGUCGACGGGUUCAAACAGAAAGAUGUUAAAAGCAGAGAAAACUUCAUCUUAUAAUCGGCAUGACUUUAUCAGAUGACAAUACCAAUACUAAAAUAAGGCUUACGCAUAGUUAUAUUCUUUAAUUCAGUCACAGACCCGCGAUAUCACGGAUGUGUUCUAGUAAAUAUAUAUAUAUAAAGUUGUGAAUAUGGUGAAACUAAUCCUCAAAAUAAGUUUAAAAUGCCCUGGUGUGGAAUAAACUUGGGUUAAAUUGAUCAUACUUCUUAAUUUACUUAUUUCAAUCCGUUUUAAAUAUUGUAUACUGCCUUAAUGAUCACAUAUAUAAUAAUAACUGUUUAAAUUUGUUUGCUGGCAUUAAUUUACCGUAAUUUACCAAUUAUGGAUUCGUAAUUUCCGCUAAAAAACGAAGUUUACCGAAUGAUCUCAUCAUUCAUAAAUCUCAUCAUACAUCAAUCUCAUCAUACAACAAAAAACGUAUAAUGUUGUGAACACUUAAUAUAAUGUUGUGAGCACUUAAUAUAAUGUUGUGAGCACUUAAUAUAAUGUUGUGAGCACUUCAUAUAAUGUUGUGAACAUGCAUAUAAUGCUGUGAGCACUGCAUAUAAUGCUGUGAUCACUUCAUAUAAUGUUGUGAGCACUACAUAUAAUGCUGUGAUCACUUCAUAUAAUGCUGUGAACACUGCGUAUAAUGCUGAUUAUUAACAUAAGGCAGUCGUGGCGUUCCAUAGUAUACUUUAUGUUAGAUAUGUACAUACAAUUCAGGACCUUGUUGUAAACUAGUAUUAGCCUGAUUUUCUAUUGUACUGUAUUGUAGUCCUGUCAUAUAAUGUUGUCAGUUUAAUGUUAUAUAUUUAUUAUUGCUAUAAAAGCGGUAGGUUUGGCAGCGGUAUACUACUGUUGCCUUUAUUUUUUGGAUCAUAACUAUAUGCAUUCUAAUUUUAGUUAAUAACUUAUAAAUUCUUUCGUUAUCCUGUUAUUUUUUGUAAUCCGCUUUGCUGCAGUCAAUUAAGUUACUAGGACGUUCAGAAAUUAGUAUAUAAACUGAUCAAGCCGCUAUAAAAUUAAUAGCGAGUUUCUUGAUAUUCUAGGUGAGUCUCUUGGUUUUAAAAAUGAUUUUCUUUUAAUUUUAUUUUAAAGAAAAAUAGAUAAAGUUUACAAGUAACUAAUAUUUUAAUUCAAAUGUUUAAUUUAACAGUAAUUAUUAUUGUUAUUAUUUGAUAUUUUAUUAGCAAUGUUUGUAGUAUGUUAUUAUUGUUUUCAAUUUAUUUUAACUUUAAAGUUGUACUUUGUUUAUUAAAUGAAGUGCGAGUUUCUUGAUAUUCUAGUUGUCAGUCGAUCCCGGCCUGCCUCUACAUCGGCAGCAAUGCCAUGCACCAUCCUAGGCAUUGUCACAGCUAGUUUCCCCCAUCAUGCUUAGACCCAGAACUAGCUCUCACGGAUGUAGUUCGUCUGUUGAGAGUUUGUCGGGAAUCAACACAACGGCUAACUUCACAAUAUACCAACAAUCUAUAUACCAUUCACAUGGAUAGUAUUGUCGUCCUUUUAUUUUUGUUAUAAUAUAUGGUGGAGGACCCUGGCAAAUAUAUGUUACAAUACUAGUCUUUUUACUACCUCUGCAUGUAAAUUGUUAAAAAUAAAGGAAAUUAUUGUUAUCAUAUUAUUCUUGCCGAUAAAGAUAAGCAUAGUGGAAUUUUAUUCAGCAAACUAUCACAUAUGCCAGCAAAUAAUAUUUAGAAGAAUUAAAAGAAAUACAAUACUGACUGCAGGCCAUAUCAGCUGUUUCUAUUUGGACUUAGGACAUCGCAACUUUUAGGACAAACCUUAGACCAUCCCAUGACACCUAUAAAUAUACAGACUGUAUAUCCUAACGAUAUAAAAACCAAUGUUAGGAUACAUAUCUUAGAAGAUAUAAAAAAGAAGAUGUGGUAUGAUUGCCAAUGAGACAACUAUGCACAAAAGACCAAAAUGACACAGACAUUAACAAACUUUGUUUGACUUAGGACUAUGACUUGUCGUCGAGUGCACCUGUCCCGUGCUGGAACUCAACUAAUAAAAGUUGCAACCAGUCAAUACAAUUAAAAAAACAAC